UACGUAGGGACCAAGCGUUGUUCGGAAUUACUGGGCGUAAAGGGCUCGUAGGUGGCCAACUAAGUCAGACGUGAAAUCCCCAGGCUCAACUUGGGAACUGCGUCUGAUACUGGAUGGCUUGAAUUCGGGAGAGGGAUGCAGAAUUCCAGGUGUAGCGGUGAAAUGCGUAGAUAUCUGGAGGAAUACCGGUGGCGAAGGCGGCAUCCUGGACCGAGAUUGACACUGAUGAGCGAAAGCUAGGGGAGCAAACGGG
This 253-nucleotide ribosomal RNA is filed under the name uncultured bacterium. RNAcentral describes it as "partial 16S ribosomal RNA". It matches the Rfam family "Bacterial small subunit ribosomal RNA", at positions 524 to 776 of the family's 1533-position model. The record is from RNAcentral.